RNAcentral lists this ribosomal RNA (277 nucleotides) under uncultured bacterium. Its description in RNAcentral is "partial 16S ribosomal RNA". It matches the Rfam family "Bacterial small subunit ribosomal RNA", at positions 29 to 293 of the family's 1533-position model. The record is from RNAcentral.
AACGAACGCUGGCGGCGUGCCUAACACAUGCAAGUCGAGCGCGAAUGGAGCAAUCCUAGUAGAGCGGCGCACGGGUGCGUAACACGUGGGUAAUCUGCCCCAGAGACCGGGAUAACCUACCGAAAGGUAAGCUAAUACCGGAUAAGCCUACGAAGUCUUCGGACUCUGAAGGAAAAGGUGGCCUCUGUAUACAAGCUAUCACUUUGGGAUGAGCCCGCGGCCCAUCAGCUCGUUGGCGGGGUAAUGGCCCACCAAGGCAACGACGGGUAGCUGGUCU